GGUCGAGUGGGUCCAGGGGGAGCCUUGGUGGCCAAGUCUGCUGUGUGGCCGCAGUAGAAUCCUGAGCCUGGGUGAGGGGGAAGAGCAGAAGUUUCCUUCCCACAUUUCUGGAGGCUGGGGGUGCAAGAUCAAGGCGCCGGCGUCCCCGGGGCCUCCUGGCUGUGUUCUUGGAGGCUAGAGGGCGCUGGAGGCCGCAGGAAGCCUCUUGUGUGACGGCCUUGAUCCCCUUCACUGGGAGGAGACCUGGAGCUAGUCAUCCUCCAACACUAUCACGUCGGCAACGCCUGGGUCUUGGAGGGGACACAUUCGAACCUCAGCCAGGUACAAGCAGGAGCAGGGAGGCCCUGACGGGGCAGGACGGUGACACCUCCUCUCCACACCUCUGCAGCAGAAGAUCGUGCCUCCUGGUGGGGAUGAUUAUUGAUUAAAGCAUCUGAAUUCAAUCAGAA
Molecule: long non-coding RNA, 449 nt
Organism: Homo sapiens (human)
Lineage: Eukaryota; Metazoa; Chordata; Mammalia; Primates; Hominidae
Source: Ensembl